GAAAAGUAAAUAAAUCACUUGAGAGAAGUUCCACAAGGAACCAACUCCAACUUAUCUACACCCCACCCCACCGUGUGUAUACUCAUUCCAUAAUGAAAUAGUUAUGGUUAACAAAGUGGAUAUUUGUUCAGGUUGGUUUCUCCACAAAGAAGGGCCUGAAACCUUAGCACUCUCAUCCACACGACCAUACAUCUAUUGCCUUCAUCCCUCCCCAUACUUCAAGCAAGAAUCAAAGUGAUCCGCCUCCUGGCUCCCCGACUUAGCUGAGAGAAGGUUCAGAUCACACACCCAUCAGAUCUCAGACAGAAGAGAGAGCAAGAAAGAACCGUCUCAGCGUGGGGGAGAUGGGGCCAUACAACCUGUCUGUCCCCAGACAGAAAUGCAAAGCCACCUAGGUGAAUCGCAUGCAGCAAGCAGCAGUCACACCUCGUCCUGGAGAAUGAAUGAAUGGAGGGAGAGGGGCAGCCGGCUACCUCACGGAACAAGAGAGGGUUUAAAUACUCAAUGAGGGCGCCUCUGACCUCAUUAGUAGUGAGAAGCCAGCCACCCGAUCACCCUGGGAGGGUACCUGAUCCUGACCUGGCAGAGGAAGAGAGUAAUUGAGAGAAGAUAGGCCAACCGCUCCCCCAACCCCAACUCUCGCCAAAGACGAAGGCACCUGGUGGCGGAGGGGCAAAGGAGGGGGCAAUCGCGACAGCCCCCACUCCCAAAUUCCUCCCGGGCCCCACCAGCAGCUGCUAGCGCAGUUCUCCCCGAGAACCUCCUGCUGGAGCAUGUGAGAGACAAAGCAAGGGGAAGGAUGGCAAGGGAGGAAAAAACUUUGUUGAGGGAGGGGGCUGCAGACACACGCACACGCGCGGGAGCUCUGCUGCGAGGCCAGUUAAGGGGGGCACUGCAGACACCCAUCUAGAGGAAGGCAUAGGCAGCUGAGGUUGCGGUCCUUCCUCCUUUCCUUCUUCCUCCUCCCCCUCCAGUCCGCCACCUUCCACAGCAUGGGGUCCCAGAGCCACCUCUCCCCCACCCCCACUCCGCUCAGUUCGAACACACCCUGCCUUCCUCACCUCGUAGCCCCUUCCCCGCCGCCGCUACCGCCGAGGGCGAGCCAGGAUGGCCCAGCCAGUCCACUCCCGCGCCGGUCCCACGGCUGCGUCCCUCUUCUCCCACUCUACCCGAGGCUCUCAAGGCAGCUGCCGCACCCCCCGCCCCCAGCGCCGCGCCCCCACCCAGUUCCGCGGCCCCGCCCAGCCCCGCCUUCGCCCCCCUCCCCCUCACCUCCCCACCUACCUCGGCCGCUGUCCCGCGAUUGGUGACACGAGCCAGCAACAUCGCGCAGGGAAGACUCGGGCCCAACUCUGGCGGCGUCAUAAGAAGUCUAAGCUCCGCCCACCUUCGAGCGUGGGAGGAAAAGCCCCCGGGCUUCCGCGCACUGGGUCCUAGAGAGCGCGCCGUGGUAGGGGUGGGGGUGGGGGUGGGGGUGGGGGCGGGGGAGAGGAGGUGGAAAGCGUGCAUGUCCAACGGGGAUGGGGGAAGGCGGGAGGAGACUAGACUCCCCCUCUGCACAGGUUGGGAUGGAAGACAUCGUUCCCUCUCCGAUCUGACAGGUAUACUAUUCUUAAGUUUGUGAUCUUGCAAAAUAAUGGGUUUCUGGAGUCCUUUAUGAAAUCCAAGAGUACAUGUCCUACAUUUGGAUGAGACUUUCAUGGACACUGGACAACAAACCAGGACAGAAGGGUACAACUUUUACAUCUGUUGCUUUAAUGAGGGUACUACUUUUACUCUGAAUAACUAUGACCUAUAACCAUUGUGAAAGGGAGAACAGAUGAGGGGAAGGUAGCCAUUUCAUGAACUGGGCAAGAGGAGAUUGUUGCUUAUAAAGCAUUUUCUUGGUGAUGUGUGAUGGAAUAUCCUUCAUCUUAUUCACUUUAAGGCAGGCAGGCAGAUGUCAUUCCUUUGAAUUGGUUGCUAAGCAGGAAUUCCAUAGAUACUAAGGGGGCAACCUCUACCUCUCAAGUACUCUUCUUCCUGCUGGAUUUAAGCAAUAAGGAUGAUUUUCUGAGCUUCUGUCUGGGGGAGAGAUCAAGUACCUUUCACCCACCUCCCCAGACUACUCAAUCAUCAUAACUACACACACACACACACACACAAUAGUAGAACUAAUGGUGCUCCUGCCUAGCAUGAGGACAAUAAUAUCCCUGUCCUGUGCUGGACCUCUGCAUAAUGGAAUGCAGAGUCAGGCUAGGCAUAUGGAAGAGUAAGGUUCUAGUAAUGUCAGCAUGGAGGUGAUAGUGCAGUGGUUGACCCAGUAUAGGGCACAGAGAUCUUACCCCCAAUACAUUGUUUAUUUGGUUUAGUUUUUCCUAUGUUUCUGUUUUAGUUUUCCAUUUCCUUCAUUAGUGCUGCCUACAUCAGGCAGAGUUGACCAAUAACAACCCUAAAAUCAAUUAAAUGCUG
Molecule: long non-coding RNA, 2451 nt
Filed under: Monodelphis domestica (gray short-tailed opossum)
Lineage: Eukaryota; Metazoa; Chordata; Mammalia; Didelphimorphia; Didelphidae
Description: lncRNA (ENSMODG00000045165.1)
Source: RNAcentral